CAUCGGACAGCCUUUCACAGCUUUUCGUUGUCAUGUUGCGUGUAACCUCGGCGCACUGUGUGGCACAGGGUCUCAGAGCGCCGCGCUGGGUUUGCGGGCUGCCGCGUCCUAUCGCGAGAAGAGGCAGCAACGCCGGUGGCAGUGGAGUGCGGCUGCAUGUAGCGUGCUCGUACACAACAAGCUGGAGGACGUCCAUGAGUGGUGCACACGGCAGCAGCAGCAGCAGCAGCAAUGCACGCGACGACGACCACAAUCAAACGAAGGAGGAUGAAGAGGAUCAGAUGCUGGAAGACGAGGAAUUCGCCGCCCUUCGCGACGCUGACGGCGACGAGCACAUGCCCGUCGCUCACCGCCUCGCACACAAGGCCGACGCUCUCGAUGCCGAGCUGCGGCGCAUCCGGUACUGCCUGUGCGACCGGGCUCAAUGGCUCGUGGACACUGCCCCGGCGACCUUCUCCGGUCGUCCGACUCGAAUGGACAAGGUGGUGCAGCUCUUGAAGGCGGCAGGCAACCAGCAGCAAAGCGAUGGCGCUGCGGCAAAGUCGUCACGCAAGGACACCUCUGCAGCGACGGUGGAGGCGGCACUGCGCGCCUCUCCGUACGCCGCAUGGUGUGGCACUUCAGACCCUGUGCUGCGUUUCUUGAGCCUUCGGGUGCUCUGGCCGCGCGCCAGGCAAGCAGGCCGCUGCGCGUCCCAUGGCGAGGCUCCGUCACACGGCACCGAUCUUGCCACCCUUAACGCCAACCUCGACCACCUCCGUCGCAGGCGUGCACUGCAUCGGUUGAACUACUACAGUCGACUGAAUCUCACCCCGAAGCGCCACAUCUGGAUCUCGUUGUAUCAAAUCUUGUGGAACAGCGUCGUCUCCGCGCAGGACGCCGUCGGGUGUGUCGUCUUCGGCACUCUUCGCGGCAUAAAGGACCACGGCACGGUGCAAGGGGCGUGCAGAGGUGCCGCCAUUGGUCUCGUCAAGGCGGUUGAGUUCCUGUGCUACGGCUGGGUCGUGUCACCACUGCUUCACCUUAGCCGAGGCCUCUGCAACACCCUCUACGGACCAGUGAGCAGCAUCACCGGGAAGUACAUGUUUGACGCCCUCAGCGGCCGGUGGAUGCGGUGCACCGUGGCUGACUCGCGCCUCUUUCGCCACGAGCUGCAGCUCGAGAAGCGCGUGCUGCGCACUAUCGGGCGCGCCGAAUUCCGCCGCAAGCGGAUAAAAACGCAGCAUAAGUGGGCCGACCGCAUGGCUUCCAUGGGCUUCAGCGUGGAUAUGAUGACGGACAAGUUUAUGCCAAAGGGGACCUGUGGUCCGCAGGGGGCGUCGGCAGAUAAAGAAGGUCUCGACGGCAGCAACCAGAUGCGCAAUCCGUACGAGGUGCUGCAGGUGCGCCGCACCGCCAGCACGCAGGAGAUCAAGAAGCAGUACAAGAAGCUCGCCAUGGUGUUCCACCCCGACGUCGUGCAGAGCCACCGCAGUGUUGGCGGGCCACUGUCACCAGAGGAGAAGGCCGAGGCUCAGCACAAGUUCGAGGAGAUCUCAAGCGCCUACCAAGUUCUGUCGAACCCGGAGAAGCGCAAGGCCUACGACCUUGGCGGCGUGCAAGCUGUCCGCCUGCACGAGAGCAAGUUUGGCAAAUUCAUGUCUCGCACGCCGUCGGAGAUAGUGCAGAGCGUGUUUGGCGGAGAGGGUUUCCGCCGCGUGCUGGUUGGCGAGCUACUCCGGUCGCACUGGGCGCUGCGCAACGAGGCGCAGGUGAGCGUGUCCAUUCACGAGCUGGAGGAGCUGCAGUGCAUUCGGGUGCGGCAGGUGGCCGUGGAGCUGGCUGCCAUCGCUGACGUGCACGCGCAGCGGCCGACGACGCCGUACUACAGAGGAGCGUCCGCGUCGACGGGUGCCGGUGGUGCGGAGGGCAGUCGUCGCCGCGCCACUUACUCUCACCCCGCCUCUAGCAGCAGCCUGCCAGACUAUUUGAAGUCGGGUAAGGUUCGUAGCAGCUCCGCCGCUGCAACAGGUUGUCGCCGGAGCACGAACGGCGCGGGCGCAUCCGCCGGCAUCCGCAUCGAUCGUGAGGUGCACAACUCGAUCAUGGAAGAGCUUGGCGGCGGUGGUGGUGCGCCGGGGAGCGGGGGCAGAGCAGCGCCCCACGGGGCGGCUUCGGCAUCGUCGUCAUCCCCGUUCGUGCUGCACCCCGGAAGCAACGAGUACAACUGCUUUUCGCGCGACUUUGAGGAGCGCUGUGACAGGUUUGUGCGGUACAUGGCCGAGGCAUGCUUUGGCAAGCCGCUCCUCUACGAGGUGGGGGAGGCCUACGUUGUCGGAGCGCAGCGCUUCCUCGGCAUCCGCCCUUUCUACGCACCGAAGAUGCUUGUCACGCGCAAGAUCUUCGCAGGCAUGGAUCGCAUCUACGAGGCCUUCUCGGACAAGACGCGGCUCACUUCUGAGGGUGUGUCGCGUAAGUUGAUGGCGGAGUACUUCAACAUGGAGUACGACGCAGUCGUCGCGGACAUCCACGGCGUGCUGCGCUACGCGGUGCAGAUGGUGCUGCAGGACGUCGUCGAGUCGGACGAGGUGCGCCGCAAGCGGUGCUACGCUGUCUGGUACCUGGGAGAAAAGAUGAUGACAGUCGGUGAGCGCUGGACGACGCGCAUCGCGAACGACGAGGACCUGGUCGCGUACAUCCAGCAAGCGGCGACAUCGGUGGCGACAACGAGCAAGCCGCCGGCGUUUUAGCGGAGUGUGCUUGCAUUUGUACUGCACCACACCACGUCGUCGAGGAGGGGAGAGCCUCCUGGUUGGGUAAACGUCCAUGGGAGUCCAUGUCGCAGAGGAGUGGCAACGGGGCAGGUGAGCUGAAGCUGCCUCGCCACCCCACCCCACACACAUCCCCUCCCCCUCCCUGCCCCCGCCAUCCGCAGUGUUCACGAGUAGAAAAAAGCGACUCAUGAGCGGAGGCAAAGACGACAGCGAAAUAACAACAUAUACAUAUAUAUACAUAUACAUGCCACGUAGGUACAUCAUCAUCACACAGUGCGCGUAUGAGAAACGAAAACGAAAACAAAAUUUCAAAAAAAAAAGCUUUCAAAAAAGAAAACGGAGAAAGGCACGGAGAGAGGGAGAGCGAGAAGGACACAGCAGGUGGACAUCACAGGAGGCGAAGGUUGCCGCAGAGAAAAGCGGUGGGUGGUGGAUGGCUGGUUGCUUCCAAUGUUGCAUCCUUGAGUCACCCAAUACUCUGGUAUCGCUGCUCUCUUGCGGAGAGUCGUGCCUCUUCUCGGGUGUAUGAAGUGGUUCUUGAUUCGUGCAGCGUAAGGCCUUCCUUUCUCUCUCCCAUGCAGCCUGAGCUAGAGCAUGAAGCUCACGCAGCACCAUGUGAGAGGCAUGCACCUUGGCAGCCGCCCACUUCCCCCGCUCCCCAAGCUCUUCCCUUAUCUUCACAUGAAGCAGAGUCCAGUAAUAGGACCAUGUACCAACGGUGAGAAGGAGCGGGGGCGACUCCCCUGCACUCCUGUUGUUCUUCCUCGCACGUCACUGCCGUCUCUGUGUGCUGCCCCUCCUUCUAUCCCUUUACCUCUUCUGUUCAUGUGCACAUACGCGCAUGCACGCACAUGUGCAUGAUCGUUCUACACGCAAAUGCAUGUAUCGACCCCCCCCACACACACACACACACUCGUCUGAGGGUGGAAAG
This 3684-nucleotide unclassified non-coding RNA is filed under the name Leishmania donovani. RNAcentral's name for it is "gene:LdHU3.26.1550(CDS-product:DnaJ_domain_contai ning_protein_putative)". The record is from RNAcentral. Lineage: Eukaryota; Euglenozoa; Kinetoplastea; Trypanosomatida; Trypanosomatidae.